GACGAACGCUGGCGGCGUGCUUAACACAUGCAAGUCGAACGGUGAAGCGCCUUCCUUUUUGGUGGGUGUGGAUGAGUGGCGAACGGGUGAGUAACACGUGAGUAACCUGCCCCCUUCUUCUGGAUAACCGCAUGAAAGUGUGGCUAAUACGGGAUAUUCUGGGUCUGUCGCAUGAUGGGUCUGGGAAAGAUAUUGUUUCGGUGGGGGAUGGGCUCGCGGCCUAUCAGCUUGUUGGUGGGGUGAUGGCCUACCAAGGCGGUGACGGGUAGCCGGCCUGAGAGGGUGGACGGUCACACGGGGACUGGGACACGGCCCAGACUCCUACGGGAGGCAGCAGUGGGGAAUAUUGCACAGUGGGCGCAAGCCUGAUGCAGCGACGCCGCGUGAGGGAUGGAGGCCUUCGGGUUGUGAACCUCUUGCGCCAGUGAAGCAGGCCUGCCUCGUUUGUGGGUGGGUUGACGGUAGCUGGAUAAGAAGCGCCGGCUAACUACGU
This 493-nucleotide ribosomal RNA is filed under the name uncultured bacterium. Its description in RNAcentral is "partial 16S ribosomal RNA". It matches the Rfam family "Bacterial small subunit ribosomal RNA", at positions 28 to 506 of the family's 1533-position model. The record is from RNAcentral.